This 434-nucleotide ribosomal RNA is filed under the name uncultured bacterium. Its description in RNAcentral is "bacterial SSU rRNA". It matches the Rfam family "Bacterial small subunit ribosomal RNA", at positions 29 to 507 of the family's 1533-position model. The record is from RNAcentral.
AGCGAACGCUGGCGGCAGGCCUAACACAUGCAAGUCGAACGGACCUUUCGGGGUUAGUGGCGGACGGGUGAGUAACACGUGGGAACGUGCCUUUAGGUUCGGAAUAAGCUCGGGAAACUGGGUCUAAUACCGAAUGUGCCCUUCGGGGAAAGAUUUAUCGCCUUUAGAGCGGCCCGCGUCUGAUUAGCUAGUUGGUGGUGUAAUGGACCACCAAGGCGACGAUCAGUAGCUGGUCUGAGAGGAUGAUCAGCCACACUGGGAUUGAGAUACGGCCCAGACUCCUACGGGAGGCAGCAGUAAGGAAUAUUGGACAAUGGGGGAAACCCUGAUCCAGCAAUGCCGCGUGAAUGAAGAAGGCCUCGGUUGGUAAAGUUACUUUCGCUUACGAUGAUAAUGACAGUAGUAAGAGUAAGAAGGUACCGGCUAACUCUGUG